AUGGGAACUCCGCGGGCACUCGGCGGGCGCUCAGGUGGGCACUUGGCGGGUGCUCAGGUGGGCACUUGGCGGGCGCUCAGGUGGGCACUCGGCGGGCACUGGGCAGGUGCUCAGGCGGGCGCUUGGUGGGCACUGGGCAGGCGCUCAAGCGGGCACUCGGUGGGGGCUCAGGUGGGCGUUCAGGCGGGCACUCGGUGGGGGCUCAGGUGGGCACUCGGCGGGCACUGGGCGGGCGCUCAGGUGGGCACUCCGCAGGCACUCAGGUGGGCACUCCAUGGGCACUCGGCGGGCGCUCCACGGGCACUCAGGUGGGCACUGGGCAGGUGCUCUGUGGGUACUCGGCAGGCGCUCAGGCAGGCACUUGGCGGGCGCUCAGGCAGGCACUCCGGUGGGCACUCCAUGGGCACUUGGCGGGGGCUCAGGUGGGCACUCGGCAGGCGUUCAGGUGGGCACUCGGCGGGCGCUCAGGCAGGCACUCCGGUGGGCACUUAAAAGGGCGCUCCGCAGACACUCAGGUGGGCGCUCCGCGGGCACUCAGGCGGGCACUUGGCGGGCACUCAGGCGGGCACUCGGCUGGCGCUCAGGUGGGUACUCAGGCGGGCACUGGGUAGGUACUCAGGUGGGCACUCAGUGGGCGCUCAGGUGGGUACUCGGUGGCGCUCAGGUGGGU
RNAcentral lists this long non-coding RNA (670 nucleotides) under Vulpes vulpes (red fox). RNAcentral describes it as "lncRNA (ENSVVUG00000016265.1)". Lineage: Eukaryota; Metazoa; Chordata; Mammalia; Carnivora; Canidae. The record is from RNAcentral.